GGGGCCCGCACAAGCGGUGGAGCAUGUGGUUUAAUUCGAUGCAACGCGAAGAACCUUACCUAGGCUUGACAUCCCUGGAAUUUUGUGGAAACACAAAAGUGCCUUUCGGGGAACCAGGAGACAGGUGCUGCAUGGCUGUCGUCGGCUCGUGUCGUGAGAUGUUGGGUUAAGUCCCGCAACGAGCGCAACCCUUAUCUUUAAUUGCCAGCAUUCAGUUGGGCACUUUAAAGAGACUGCCGGUGUUAAACCGGAGGAAGGUGGGGAUGACGUCAAAUCAUCAUGCCCCUUAUGGCCUGGGCUACAAACGUAAUACAAUGGCGUAUACAAAGGGAUGCGAAAGGGCGACCUGGAGCAAAACUCACAAAGUACGUCUCAGUUCAGAUUGGAGUCUGCAACUCGACUCCAUGAAGGCGGAAUCGCUAGUAAUCGCGGAUCAGCAUGCCGCGGUGAAUACGUUCUCGGGGUUU
Molecule: ribosomal RNA, 467 nt
Filed under: uncultured Smithella sp.
Lineage: Bacteria; Pseudomonadati; Thermodesulfobacteriota; Syntrophia; Syntrophales; Smithellaceae
Description: bacterial SSU rRNA
Rfam family: Bacterial small subunit ribosomal RNA
Source: RNAcentral